Molecule: transfer RNA, 73 nt
Filed under: Ophiophagus hannah (king cobra)
Lineage: Eukaryota; Metazoa; Chordata; Lepidosauria; Squamata; Elapidae
Rfam family: tRNA
About the family: Transfer RNA (tRNA) molecules are approximately 80 nucleotides in length. Their secondary structure includes four short double-helical elements and three loops (D, anti-codon, and T loops). Further hydrogen bonds mediate the characteristic L-shaped molecular structure. tRNAs have two regions of fundamental functional importance: the anti-codon, which is responsible for specific mRNA codon recognition, and the 3' end, to which the tRNAs corresponding amino acid is attached (by aminoacyl-tRNA synthetases). tRNAs cope with the degeneracy of the genetic code in two manners: having more than one tRNA (with a specific anti-codon) for a particular amino acid; and 'wobble' base-pairing, i.e. permitting non-standard base-pairing at the 3rd anti-codon position.
Source: Rfam by way of RNAcentral
GCCAGUUUGGCCUAGUGGUUAAGGCACCAGGCUUAAAGCCAGAUGACAGCGAGUUCUAGUCCCACCUCAGGCA